AGAGGGAGGGCGCUUAUGCGAAAGGUUCCCUCCAAAAAUUGUCCUCAAGUUGCCAAAAAAUAAUUCUUUUCUGGCUUUUUCCCUGAUUUCGAGUUUAUUAACGAUUUCAAGCGUUGUUGUAUGUUUUUAGAUACACACCUUUUUAUAAGAACACUCGGCUCCAGCUGCAGCCUUUCGUUUCUUAACUUUUCGGAUAAUUCCGGCCUCACGUGUUUCCUAUUUUUUCUUAUUUUGUAAUAGAACUUCCUGUGCAUAGAAGUGUCCGGACACAAAAAGUGCCUGAUAAAGCAAUUAAAGCCACUCUCAAGGAAUUUGUACUUUUACCUGUAGUUCCUGCAGUCCUGUUGCUAUCUUUUUAUCUUUCAAUUUUUGCUGGUAUCUUUUUGCUUGAGUUUUGUUGAAUCUCAGCCUGCCUUGUUUCUUAUGUCGUUCUUUUUUGGGCAAAUCUCAGCCUGAGAUUUCUUAUAAGGGUCCAGUUAUUUCUAAUAGCCCCGCUAGUUUCAAACUCUCAGCAUUCAGCAACUACCAAAACUGGUUGCGUCUAUUCAGUUAUGUUGUCUAUUCUACAUCCGAGCCCCAAAAGGGGAGGUCUUAGUGAAUAAAACUAAAAAAUACAUUAAAACUUUAAUUUUCAGAAGCCCAAUAAAUAAGGUAAACAAUUUAAAGAGGUUUCUUGAAAUCUCUUUAUAGGGCUAGUAAUGCCUCUCAGAAUGGGUGGCCAUGCCUGGCUUAUUUUCUUAUCUAAAUUAAACUGAGGACUGGGCUGUCCUACAAAUGAUAUUUGAUAAUUGUCUUGAUUGGGAUUUUUCUUGAUUUUCUAUCUUUCCUUAAAUCUCAAAUGUAAUAGGUCUCUAGUCUGGGUACAUAAAAGGGGAGCAAAUAACAGGUUUCUCAUAUAAGCCCCAUCAUUUGCCCUAAGUGUUUAUCUCUUUAAAGUGCAUAUGACACGAAAAUUUUUAUUCGCCCCCAUCACGUAAUCGAGUAUGCUGAUCACGAAAAUCACCAUAAAAUUUUCGAAAAACAAACACUUUCGUAAUUACAGCUGUUUCAAGGUCGAUUUUUGCUUCAAAUUCUGUCAUAAGGGAUUGGGUCGAGUUUGACAGGAAGUGACGUAAAGUGGUUGUGUUAGCGAAAAUUUAGAUUGCUAACUAACAAGAAGUUAUACGGCGGAGUUUUACUUGAGAGUCUAUGAACAUGUCUCACGGCAAAUAUUCAAGCUCAAGGGCGUCAGCUUUUGACGAAAGUGAAGGGGAAUAGCUUUUGAUGCUGAUGGGCUAUUUUUGCCUUGCAAGAACGAACCAGUCUUUUUUCUGCGGAUAAUUCAGACGCGGAACCAGGCAUAGCUGGCAUGGCUCGAAGCUUUCAUGACCGGGCAGAGGACGAAGAUGGAAUACAAAAAUCCCAACAGCGUGAUCGAUGGCGAGGAAUUAUUACUUUGAGUCAAUGAUAUCUCUGUGCAAUGGCAUACAGUCUUGGUGUCUGUCAGAGACAAACGUAGAUACUUCAAUUCCAGAACUUCUGAGAGAUUCAAAACCUUGUUGAUGCCAAAGCAACUCCAUCUGUGCAGAGCUUCCGUUAACGCUGCUUGCCUGUGAAGAACAAGGAACACAAAUUUCAAUGUUUACAUUUAACAACAAACAUGAUCCAAGAUUAAUUUUUUGGUCUUUGACCAAGGCUGACCAGGUCAAAGACCACCAUUUCUGUUAUACAGAAACGACUGAGUCCGUGAUUUAAUUGAAAGUUUUUAUAUCAUGUUUUGUUACUUGGUGACUUCUGUUUAUUGUUAAUCGAUUCUCACUUGCAUCUUGAAUCUUUAUCCCAUAGAAUAUCAUUUCCCUGCUUCUUAAAUAUUUCUUGAAUUGCCAACCCCCUGCUUUUUUAGUUUCCAAAACCUUUUUCGCUUUUGUAUAAAAUAUUGAAGUAGUUUACAUUUGUUUAAAUGGUUUAUUUUUAUGUAUUAAAAACGGUGAUAUGGACUCCACACAGAGAGACAAGGAGUCCCUUUUUUCCAUAAAGCGAGUGCCCCCGGUGUUGUCGAGUCAUUACCAAUAACGUAUCUCAGCUGUUACACAAUAGAACGUUGUUAGGCAGUUAUAAAAAAACAAUAGGAAACUUAUUACUCA
Molecule: non-coding RNA, 2123 nt
Organism: Rhopilema esculentum
Lineage: Eukaryota; Metazoa; Cnidaria; Scyphozoa; Rhizostomeae; Rhizostomatidae
Source: RefSeq, a predicted model, not a curated record